AUUGAACGCUGGCGGCAGGCCUAACACAUGCAAGUCGAGCGGAUGAAGGGAGCUUGCUCCUGGAUUCAGCGGCGGACGGGUGAGUAAUGCCUAGGAAUCUGCCUGGUAGUGGGGGAUAACGUCCGGAAACGGGCGCUAAUACCGCAUACGUCCUGAGGGAGAAAGUGGGGGAUCUUCGGACCUCACGCUAUCAGAUGAGCCUAGGUCGGAUUAGCUAGUUGGUGGGGUAAAGGCCUACCAAGGCGACGAUCCGUAACUGGUCUGAGAGGAUGAUCAGUCACACUGGAACUGAGACACGGUCCAUACUCCUACGGGAGGCAGCAGUGGGGAAUAUUGGACAAUGGGCGAAAACCUGAUCCAGCCAUGCCGCGUGUGUGAAGAAGGUCUUCGGAUUGUAAAGCACUUUAAGUUGGGAGGAAGGGCAGUAAGUUAAUACCUUGCUGUUUUGACGUUACCAACAGAAUAAGCACCGGCUAACUUCGUG
RNAcentral lists this ribosomal RNA (484 nucleotides) under uncultured bacterium. Its description in RNAcentral is "partial 16S ribosomal RNA". It matches the Rfam family "Bacterial small subunit ribosomal RNA", at positions 30 to 507 of the family's 1533-position model. The record is from RNAcentral.